UGGGGAAUAUUGGACAAUGGGGGGAACCCUGAUCCAGCCAUGCCGCGUGUGUGAAGAAGGCCUUAUGGUUGUAAAGCACUUUAAGCGAGGAGGAGGGUACUGGUAUUAAUACUACCAGGUACUGGACGUUACUCGCAGAAUAAGCACCGGCUAACUCUGUGCCAGCAGCCGCGGUAAUACAGAGGGUGCGAGCGUUAAUCGGAUUUACUGGGCGUAAAGCGUGCGUAGGCGGCUAAUUGAGUCGGAUGUGAAAUCCCCGAGCUUAACUUGGGAAUUGCAUUCGAUACUGGUUAGCUAGAGUGGGGGAGAGGAUGGUAGAAUUCCAGGUGUAGCGGUGAAAUACGUAGAGAUCUGGAGGAAUACCGAUGGCGAAGGCAGCCAUCUGGCCUAACACUGACGCUGAGGUACGAAAGCAUGGGGAGCAAACAGG
RNAcentral lists this ribosomal RNA (430 nucleotides) under Pseudomonadota bacterium. RNAcentral's name for it is "Proteobacteria bacterium partial 16S ribosomal RNA". It matches the Rfam family "Bacterial small subunit ribosomal RNA", at positions 355 to 776 of the family's 1533-position model. Lineage: Bacteria; Pseudomonadati; Pseudomonadota. The record is from RNAcentral.